CAGUAGCCGCGGUAAUACGAAGGGGGCUAGCGUUGUUCGGAUUUACUGGGCGUAAAGGGCGCGUAGGCGGGCUGAUAAGUCAGGGGUGAAAUCCCAAGGCUCAACCUUGGAACUGCCUUUGAUACUGUUGGUCUUGAGUCCGGGAGAGGUGAGUGGAACUGCGAGUGUAGAGGUGAAAUUCGUAGAUAUUCGCAAGAACACCAGUGGCGAAGGCGGCUCACUGGCCCGGAACUGACGCUGAGGCGCGAAAGCGUGGGGAGCAAACAGGAUUAGAGACCCCUGUAGUCCCUGUCUCUUAUAC
RNAcentral lists this ribosomal RNA (301 nucleotides) under uncultured bacterium. RNAcentral's name for it is "partial 16S ribosomal RNA". It matches the Rfam family "Bacterial small subunit ribosomal RNA", at positions 509 to 807 of the family's 1533-position model. The record is from RNAcentral.